UGGGGAAUUUUACACAAUGGGCGAAAGCCUGAUGUAGCAACGCCGCGUGGAGGAUGAAGGAUUUAGGUUCGUAAACUCCUUUUAUAGGGGAAGAAAUUUGACGGUACCCUAUGAAUAAGCACCGGCUAACUCCGUGCCAGCAGCCGCGGUAAUACGGGGGGUGCAAGCGUUACUCGGAAUCACUGGGCGUAAAGGGAGCGUAGGCGUUCUAUUAAGUCUUGAGUGAAAGCCCGCAGCCUAACUGCGGAACUGCUCAGGAAACUGAUAGAAUUGAGUAUGGAAGAGGUCAGUGGAAUUUCCAGUGUAGGGGUAAAAUCCGUAGAUAUUGGAAGGAAUACCAGAAGCGAAGGCGACUGACUGGGACAUUACUGACGCUGAGGCUCGAAAGCGUGGGGAGCAAACAGGAUUAGAUACCCCCGUAGUCCCUGAGCGGGCUGGCAAGGCGCAU
This 448-nucleotide ribosomal RNA is filed under the name uncultured bacterium. Its description in RNAcentral is "bacterial SSU rRNA". It matches the Rfam family "Bacterial small subunit ribosomal RNA", at positions 355 to 825 of the family's 1533-position model. The record is from RNAcentral.